RNAcentral lists this ribosomal RNA (1372 nucleotides) under uncultured bacterium. RNAcentral's name for it is "bacterial SSU rRNA". It matches the Rfam family "Bacterial small subunit ribosomal RNA", at positions 28 to 1381 of the family's 1533-position model. The record is from RNAcentral.
GAUGAACGCUGGCGGCGUGCCUAAUACAUGCAAGUCGAGCGAACGGACGAGAAGCUUGCUUCUCUGAUGUUAGCGGCGGACGGGUGAGUAACACGUGGAUAACCUACCUAUAAGACUGGGAUAACUUCGGGAAACCGGAGCUAAUACCGGAUAAUAUUUUGAACCGCAUGGUUCAAAAGUGAAAGACGGUCUUGCUGUCACUUAUAGAUGGAUCCGCGCUGCAUUAGCUAGUUGGUAAGGUAACGGCUUACCAAGGCAACGAUGCAUAGCCGACCUGAGAGGGUGAUCGGCCACACUGGAACUGAGACACGGUCCAGACUCCUACGGGAGGCAGCAGUAGGGAAUCUUCCGCAAUGGGCGAAAGCCUGACGGAGCAACGCCGCGUGAGUGAUGAAGGUCUUCGGAUCGUAAAACUCUGUUAUUAGGGAAGAACAUAUGUGUAAGUAACUGUGCACAUCUUGACGGUACCUAAUCAGAAAGCCACGGCUAACUACGUGCCAGCAGCCGCGGUAAUACGUAGGUGGCAAGCGUUAUCCGGAAUUAUUGGGCGUAAAGCGCGCGUAGGCGGUUUUUUAAGUCUGAUGUGAAAGCCCACGGCUCAACCGUGGAGGGUCAUUGGAAACUGGAAAACUUGAGUGCAGAAGAGGAAAGUGGAAUUCCAUGUGUAGCGGUGAAAUGCGCAGAGAUAUGGAGGAACACCAGUGGCGAAGGCGACUUUCUGGUCUGUAACUGACGCUGAUGUGCGAAAGCGUGGGGAUCAAACAGGAUUAGAUACCCUGGUAGUCCACGCCGUAAACGAUGAGUGCUAAGUGUUAGGGGGUUUCCGCCCCUUAGUGCUGCAGCUAACGCAUUAAGCACUCCGCCUGGGGAGUACGACCGCAAGGUUGAAACUCAAAGGAAUUGACGGGGACCCGCACAAGCGGUGGAGCAUGUGGUUUAAUUCGAAGCAACGCGAAGAACCUUACCAAAUCUUGACAUCCUUUGACAACUCUAGAGAUAAAGCCUUCCCCUUCGGGGGACAAAGUGACAGGUGGUGCAUGGUUGUCGUCAGCUCGUGUCGUGAGAUGUUGGGUUAAGUCCCGCAACGAGCGCAACCCUUAAGCUUAGUUGCCAUCAUUAAGUUGGGCACUCUAAGUUGACUGCCGGUGACAAACCGGAGGAAGGUGGGGAUGACGUCAAAUCAUCAUGCCCCUUAUGAUUUGGGCUACACACGUGCUACAAUGGACAAUACAAAGGGCAGCGAAACCGCGAGGUCAAGCAAAUCCCAUAAAGUUGUUCUCAGUUCGGAUUGUAGUCUGCAACUCGACUACAUGAAGCUGGAAUCGCUAGUAAUCGUAGAUCAGCAUGCUACGGUGAAUACGUUCCCGGGUCU